UACGUAGGUGGCGAGCGUUGUUCGGAAUUACUGGGCGUAAAGCGCACGUAGGCGGACAUUUAAGUCAGGGGUGAAAUCCCGGGGCUCAACCCCGGAACUGCCUUUGAUACUGGGUGUCUUGAGUUCGGAAGAGGUGAGUGGAAUUGCGAGUGUAGAGGUGAAAUUCGUAGAUAUUCGCAGGAACACCAGUGGCGAAGGCGGCUCACUGGUCCGAUACUGACGCUGAGGUGCGAAAGCGUGGGGAGCAAACAGG
Molecule: ribosomal RNA, 253 nt
Filed under: uncultured bacterium
Lineage: Bacteria
Description: partial 16S ribosomal RNA
Rfam family: Bacterial small subunit ribosomal RNA
Source: RNAcentral